AACCCAGUGCAUACUUUCAUGUGAGCACAUCUCGAUUUGGACCUACAAAGUGUUCAGCAGCCACAUGUAACCAGUGGCUAUGGACAAGGGAAAUUCUAGAAGGAAGACACAGCCCUUCCCCCCUCAGAGCUCAUAAGUGCAACUCUGGGCCAAGUUCAAGAGCAAAGGAUGGCACUUCACACGCGCUCCUGAAAAUAUGAGGCCAGGCUGUGUGUUCUCGAGAACCCUGUUUUCAGAAAUGGUGACUUGAAAGAUCCAUCGUGUCAUAAUCGUGCCUUUCGGUUUCAAAUUAGCCACAGUGAGAAUUCUGUGUUUAAGACGGAAUGUGAAAGUUCAAAGAAGCUAGAGGGAAAUGAACAAGAAUAACAUCACCGAGAUGGUUAAGAAUAGUAUGACUAUAUUUCUACGUGCAGAUAAAGAUUUCCUGGACAAGCUGUGGCUGUCUCCCUCCCUCCCUCCCUACACCAUGGGAACAACAGUCACUUCCUCAUUGUUGCCACACUGCAUACUGCAUGAAGGUCACCUGCAGCGACUUGAGGGAAGUGCAGCAGGAUUCAACUACCCUCCAGCUUUCAGGAGCAAGUAAUGUUGACAAAAGGGUUCUUGUAAGUAGUCCAGCGCGGUCCUGGGAGCCAGAUUACUGCCUUUGAAUCACAGCUGGCCACUU
This is a long non-coding RNA of Artibeus jamaicensis (Jamaican fruit-eating bat), 667 nucleotides long. RefSeq lists it as uncharacterized. The transcript has 4 exons. The record is from RefSeq and is a predicted model, not a curated record. Lineage: Eukaryota; Metazoa; Chordata; Mammalia; Chiroptera; Phyllostomidae.